GCCCGAAGAAAUGGAGUGCUUGCACAAAGUGGAUUCAAUUGAGAUGACUGAGUGGCGGACGGGUGAGUAACGCGUGGGUAACCCUGCCCUAUACAGGGGGAUAGCGAGUUGGAAACGACUGAUAAUACCGCAUGAGCGCACAGUACCGCAUGGUACAGUGUGAAAAACUCCGGUGGUAUAGGAUGGACCCGCGUCUGAUUAGCUAGUUGGUGAGGUAACGGCUCACCAAGGCGACGAUCAGUAGCCGACCUGAGAGGGUGACCGGCACAUUGGGACUGAGACACGGCCCAAACUCCUACGGGAGGCAGCAGUGGGGAAUAUUGCACAAUGGGCGAAAGGCCUGAUGCAGCGAACCGCCGCGUGAGUGAUGAAAGUAUUUCGGUAUGUAAAGCUCUAUCAGCAGGGAAGAUAAUGACGGUACCUGACUAAGAAGCACCGGCUAAAUACGUGCCAGCCGCCGC
Molecule: ribosomal RNA, 461 nt
Filed under: uncultured bacterium
Lineage: Bacteria
Description: bacterial SSU rRNA
Rfam family: Bacterial small subunit ribosomal RNA
Source: RNAcentral